This 437-nucleotide ribosomal RNA is filed under the name uncultured bacterium. Its description in RNAcentral is "partial 16S ribosomal RNA". It matches the Rfam family "Bacterial small subunit ribosomal RNA", at positions 29 to 507 of the family's 1533-position model. The record is from RNAcentral.
AGCGAACGCUGGCGGCAGGCUUAACACAUGCAAGUCGAGCGGGCAUCCUUGUGGUGUCAGCGGCAGACGGGUGAGUAACGCGUGGGAACGUGCCCUUCGGUUCGGAAUAACUCAGGGAAACUUGAGCUAAUACCGGAUACGUGCGAGAGCAGAAAGGUUUAUCUGCCGAAGGAUCGGCCCGCGUCUGAUUAGCUAGUUAGUGAGGUUACGGCUCACCAAGGCGACGAUCAGUAGCUGGUCUGAGAGGAUGAUCAGCCACACUGGGACUGAGACACGGCCCAGACUCCUACGGGAGGCAGCAGUGGGGAAUAUUGGACAAUGGGGGCAACCCUGAUCCAGCCAUGCCGCGUGAGUGAUGACGGCCUUAGGGUUGUAAAGCUCUUUUCUCCGGGACGAUAAUGACGGUACCGGAGGAAUAAGCCCCGGCUAACUUCGUG